AUUGAACGCUGGCGGAAUGCUUUACACAUGCAAGUCGAACGGCAGCACGGGGCAACCUGGUGGCGAGUGGCGAACGGGUGAGUAAUAUAUCGGAACGUGCCCAAUCGUGGGGGAUAACGUAGCGAAAGUUACGCUAAUACCGCAUACGAUCUACGGAUGAAAGCGGGGGAUCGCAAGACCUCGCGCGAAUGGAGCGGCCGAUAUCAGAUUAGGUAGUUGGUGGGGUAAAGGCCCACCAAGCCAACGAUCUGUAGCUGGUCUGAGAGGACGACCAGCCACACUGGAACUGAGACACGGUCCAGACUCCUACGGGAGGCAGCAGUGGGGAAUUUUGGACAAUGGGCGCAAGCCUGAUCCAGCAAUGCCGCGUGCAGGAUGAAGGCCUUCGGUUGUAAACUGCUUUGUACGGACGAAAGGACUCUGGUUAAUACCUGGGCUCAUGACGGUACCGUAAGAAUAAGCACCGGCUAACUACGUGCCAGCAGCCGCGGUAAU
Molecule: ribosomal RNA, 495 nt
Filed under: uncultured bacterium
Lineage: Bacteria
Description: bacterial SSU rRNA
Rfam family: Bacterial small subunit ribosomal RNA
Source: RNAcentral